UCGUGAAAAAAUAAAUGGGGAGUCGGACCUGCCCAGUGAAUUUUUUUUAACGGCCGCGGUACUCUGACCGUGCAAAGGUAGCAUAAUCAUUUGCCUUAUAAUUAAAGGCUAGUAUGAAUGGUUUGACAAGAGUGUAGCUGUCUCUUUAUGAUUUUAUAAAAUUUUAUAUUUAGGUGAAGAAGCCUAGAUAUAAUUAAAAGACAAGAAGACCCUAUCGAGCUUAAAAGAAAUUAAUAGAUUAUUUAAUAAUAUUACUAAAAAUUUUUUUCUGUUAAAGAUUUUGGUUGGGGCGACUAAGGAACAAAAAAAGCUUCCUUGAAAAUAAAUACCUUACAAGUAAUGAUCCAGAAAUUUUGAUUAAAGAAAUUAGUUACCGUAGGGAUAACAGCAUUAUCUUUUUUAAGAGCUCCUAUCGAAAAAAAGGUUUGUGACCUCGAUGUUGGAUCAGAAUAUCCUAAAGAUGCAGCAGUCUUUAAGGGUUGGUCUGUUCGACCAUUAAAAUUCUA
RNAcentral lists this ribosomal RNA (506 nucleotides) under Filifusus filamentosus. RNAcentral describes it as "partial 16S ribosomal RNA". It matches the Rfam family "Bacterial large subunit ribosomal RNA", at positions 1831 to 2598 of the family's 2925-position model. Lineage: Eukaryota; Metazoa; Mollusca; Gastropoda; Neogastropoda; Fasciolariidae. The record is from RNAcentral.